UACGUAGGGGGCAAGCGUUGUCCGGAUUCAUUGGGCGUAAAGAGCGUGUAGGCGGCCAGGUAGGUCGGUUGUGAAAACUGGAGGCUCAACCUCGAGACGUCGGUUGAAACCGCUUGGCUAGAGUCCGGAAGAGGAGAGUGGAAUUCCCGGUGUAGCGGUGAAAUGCGCAGAUAUCGGGAAGAACACCCGUGGCGAAGGCGGCGCUCUGGGCUGGAACUGACGCUGAGGAGCGAAAGCGUGGGUAGCAAACAGG
This 253-nucleotide ribosomal RNA is filed under the name uncultured bacterium. RNAcentral's name for it is "partial 16S ribosomal RNA". It matches the Rfam family "Bacterial small subunit ribosomal RNA", at positions 524 to 776 of the family's 1533-position model. The record is from RNAcentral.